AGUGCGCGGGGAGCAGCUGGAAAAUGCGAGCCUCCCGCCAAGGCUGGUUUAAGGAAGAAGAGCCACCACUGCUACGGGUAUUUUCUUCAAGCAGCUACUACUGGCCCGUACUUUACAAUAAUCGUGUUCCGUACGAGGUGGUUUUGCUCAUAUUCAUUCCUCUGUGCCAUAAAUGUCCCAAUUUAGCCAACCCAUACCUGCAUCAACGAGAAGCGUGUGUUUGUGCUCCUAAGAGGUCCACAGCACUCUGAGCAAAGUUAGGCAUCAUCUUCUUCGUUGCGUUAAUUAAUUUCCUUUAACUAUAUAAUGCAGAUAAAUUUCUCAGGUGUAUAUCAAGGACUAAACUUCUGUUUUAAAGAUAAACAGAAUAAAACAAAUGGGUAAAAUGA
Cyanistes caeruleus (blue tit) is the source of this 389-nucleotide non-coding RNA. The record is from RefSeq and is a predicted model, not a curated record. Lineage: Eukaryota; Metazoa; Chordata; Aves; Passeriformes; Paridae.